GGCAAAGUGCCAGAGUGGUUAAUGGGUCAGCCUCGAAAGCUGAUGGCUUCGGCCGCACAGGUUCGAAUCCUGUCUUUGUCG
This is a transfer RNA of 81 nucleotides. It matches the Rfam family "tRNA". From Rfam's summary of the family: Transfer RNA (tRNA) molecules are approximately 80 nucleotides in length. Their secondary structure includes four short double-helical elements and three loops (D, anti-codon, and T loops). The record is from Rfam.